UUGGAGGGCAAGUCUGGUGCCAGCAGCCGCGGUAAUUCCAGCUCCAAUAGCGUAUAUUAAAGUUGUUGCAGUUAAAAAGCUCGUAGUUGAAUUUCGGGAUCAAUGUUUUGGUCAUGCCGUUGGUAUGUACUGAUAUUAUUGGUUUCUCACCUUCUAAGAACCGUAAUGCCAUUAAUUUGGUGUCACGGGGAAUUAGGACUGUUACCUUGAAAAAAUUAGAGUGUUUAAAGCAGGCUCACGCUUGAAUACAUUAGCAUGGAAUAAUGAAAUAGGACAUCCGAUUCUAUUUUGUUGGUUUCUAGGAUCGAUGUAAUGAUUAAUAGGGAUAGUUGGGGCAUUAGUAUUCAAUUGUCAGAGGUGAAAUUCUUGGAUUUAUUGAAGACUAACUACUGCGAAAGCAUUUGCCAAGGAUGUUUUCAUUAAUCAAGAACGAAAGUUAGGGGAUCGAAGACGAUCAGAUACCGUCGUAGUCUUAACCAUAAACUAUGCCGACUAGGGAUCGGAUGAUGUUAAUUUUUAAAUGACUCAUUCGGCGCCUUACGGGAAACCAAAGUGUUUGGGUUC
Molecule: ribosomal RNA, 564 nt
Filed under: uncultured Glomeromycotina
Lineage: Eukaryota; Fungi; Glomeromycota
Description: SSU rRNA
Rfam family: Eukaryotic small subunit ribosomal RNA
Source: RNAcentral